CUCGCUCAUUUCAUGCAGCAGUUUACGCUCAUCUAGCACAAUAGUCCCCAAACUGUGAUUCACGGCAUGCUAGAUUUACACAAAAAUGAAGCCUUUCAAGAUACAGCUGGUUCCAGAAAUACUUCCUAUUAUGUGGACCUCCUGGAGAUGCACAAUGUACCACAGACUCUGAGCAGCCCUGCGGAGGGCCCAGAAGACCAAAAUGCAUUGGCGAGGAGAGCACCAGCAUCUUGAAAAGCAAUUUCGUGACUGAUUUCCAUAAACCAAUGAUGCAAUUGGAUGCAGCUGAAAUGGGAUCCUUGAUUUUAAUGGAAAAGGAAAGAUACCAGAAUGGAAGAAGCUGAUUUCAGGCACUCAACUGCCAAAGGCAAGAUAAUCAUGGGAGUUAUGAUAGACUACAGAGUUAGAGUGCUGAUCAAAGUGGUCUGACCUGAUUUGGUGGGGACUAAUUGAUUAUGGAGUCUGGGGUAGAGGCAAAAGUUGUCCGCCAACAUUGACUCUCUUUGUUCCCUCUGAUAAAGACUACAUCCCCAGCCUCCUUUCAGCUAUAUGUGGUUAUAUGAAUGACUUUGGGCCAGUGAUACGUGAGAAGAAGGGAGGUAGACCAUUUCCACGGCAUGUCUUUAAAGGGAGGACGCAUGUUCACUCCCUUCUUCCUGCUGCACGGAAUAUGGACAUGGGAGACAGUCAGCAUCAGGGAGGGCCACACUGAGGCAUGGUAGAGCAACAAGAUAGAAUAAGUCUGGGUCCCCGGACAACCACUUAAAGCAGAGCUGCCAUACCAGCCCUAGACUGCCUACCUUCGAACAAUGACAUGAGAGACAGGUCACUUCUAUCUAAGUCAUUGUUAUUCGGGGUCUCUCUUAGACCCAGAAAAAUCUACAUCCUAUGUCAUCUAGAAGUUGGCACCUAAAAGUUUGGCACUGACUUGGCAGAUGGCAGGAGAGAAUCAGAAUCAGGAAAACUGGUGACACUUAUUAUGCCAUCACAAAACAUUUGGUCGAAUUGUGACCUACAAUAGAUUGGGAGGUAUGAAACAUGCCUGUGGUUCUGCAGGAAAUGGUUGAGAAAACAAUCAGAAUAUUGGCAUAUUGGGGGUACUCUUUGCCCCUUUUAGAAUAAUCUAAGGGAAACCUAGUCGGUCUGCAAUGAUGGAUGGGAGAACAGCUCUGCUGAAGAAGUUACUUUCUCCGCUUGCAGCCUGCAAUCUAAGAUGCCUGAGAAUCCAAGAGUGUGGGGCUUUUGUGGGUGAAAAAGCUAAGCCACUGAUUCUAGUCACAGAACUGAAGCAUUUAUAAAUUAGGAGAUAGACUUGUAGCUGGAAAAGUCUGUGGCAUGGCCCUAACCCUUCUCAAGUACCUCCCUUUAAGAUCUCCAAGACAAGAGAGUGCUCCCAGUGGCCCAGAUGGAUUAAGGUCGCUGAUUUCCCUGACAAGCCAGCUGUUUCACCUGGCCUCAAGAUGAUUGCCAUUAAAUUGGGUGUGGGAUGAGGAAUGAAUUGAGCACAAAGGUCAGUAAGCCAAUGGCCAGAGUCUUCAGGCUUAAAAAUCUAUGUCUAGACAAAAUAGUUGGCCGUUGGUACUUGCACCUGAAACCAACCAGAAGCAAAUAGACAGAAGGCCAAAGACAACACAAGCCUGGCCUGAAAAAUCCUGUGACUAGUCAACCUUAAAGUCUGUGACUAUUCAACCUCUAAAGCAGAGGUCAAUACACCUUUUAUGUAAAGAGCCAGCUGGUAAACAUUUUAGGCUUUGUGGUCUCUGUGGCCUUGAACCCACUUCCUGUGUUUGCAGAAUCUGCCACCGUCUGAAUUGUGGUGAGAGGAAAGGCUCCUCCUCCCACGGAGACCAGAUACUUGCUCUCCCCUCACUCUGGCAGCCAGACAUGAGCAGGUGACCUCAAUGUGGCCCAAUUCUUGGGCAAGUGACACAAAGAAGCAAGGCCAUUAGAAUUCCCUCAGGCAGCUCAGUGGUGUUGCCCAUGUCCAGUGGCAGCGGUACCAGCCACCUGAGAGAACAGUGGCUCCUAACCAGAUCGCCCCUGUGGUGUGACCCUGGUGGGGGUUCUGGCUUCUGCUUCCCCACCCUCCUGCUCAUUUUCUAAGCUAGUCUUUUCAGCUUUCUGGUCAUUUCUUGAGAAACUCAAUAUCUCUCCAAUAAAUUCCUUUUCCUGCGUAAGUGAAGCAGUCUUUUUGUUGUUGUUAUUUGAAGCUGAGAAGCAUGACCGUUAUAGUUAAAGGAACCAAUUUUGUAGUCAUCAGCAUAAAAGCAGUAGUGAAAUAUACAAGAUGGUUUGAAAUUGCCCAGGGAGAGCGUGGAGAAAGAGAAGUGAGCUGGAGACGGAGCCCAUGGGAACAGAAACUCUUAAGGGAGGGAAAGAAAGAGAUCUAUGAAAGAGAAAUGAUAGAGAACGGAACAAGUGGAAAAUUAAGAGAGUGUGUGCAAAGAUAUGGAGUUCCAAGUUCAGUGUUUGGAGCUGAAGUUGUUCUAUGUGUAAAUAAGGCACAAAGGGAGUCAGUGACAUUCACAGAGGCCACCAGGGGCUGUAAGCCAGUAAGGGUCAUUGACAUGGACGUGGAGGUCACAGAAGAUGGAAACAUGGAUAAAUUUUCACUGGGCAAGCAUUUUUCAGAGCAAAUUCCUUUA
Molecule: long non-coding RNA, 2645 nt
Filed under: Equus caballus (horse)
Lineage: Eukaryota; Metazoa; Chordata; Mammalia; Perissodactyla; Equidae
Description: lncRNA (ENSECAG00000057594.1)
Source: RNAcentral